Misgurnus anguillicaudatus (oriental weatherfish) is the source of this 1534-nucleotide non-coding RNA. Lineage: Eukaryota; Metazoa; Chordata; Actinopteri; Cypriniformes; Cobitidae. The record is from RefSeq and is a predicted model, not a curated record.
AGCAUUAUUACUGUAAAAUGAGCAAAUGCUUACUGUAGAACUUGUAUACAGCAUGUUGCUGUAGAUCUGCAAAGCAUCAUGGUCUUUUUUCAACGGCGGGUAAAUUCUACAGUAAAAAUAUUUUUCCUGUGAAUCACAAUACAGCAAUUUCUAAAGGAUUUUUUUCUUCAGCCAAGGAAAGCUACGAGAUUCCACACUUUCAUCUGAAUUUUUACUUCAGAAAGGUAAAUUUGCUAAUUUAAUUCCAAAGUUUACUCUUGUAAAGUCUGUUUGUUCAACUUUAAGAGUGCACUGAGAGAGAAUGAGCAGCACACUUCACCGUCUUGUGUGUGCAUUUUGUAAUUUUAUUACCACAAAUAUAUAAUUCUGCAUGAUUUCGAUAUAUUUUCUAGUUUGGCAACAUUUUAUAACGUCAUUAGUUUAGAGAAGGAUAAUAAUUUAAUAAUAAUAGUAAUUGGCCGUGUCUCAAUGCUUGUUUCAGAAUAUUAACAAUUAUAAAGUUGACUGUUAUUCUUAGUUAAUAGUAAAUUGUUUAAUAUGCUUAUGACUUGCGAAUCUAAUGGUCAGUUAACUUAAAUAAACCAGGGUUGAUGACGUAUGCGAGUGCGACCUCCGCACGCAGGCUGAAACCAGUCUCUCGAGCUGAAAGAAAACGCAGCUGAGGAGAUAUGAGGAAACUUCCACCUACAGUAAGCAGAUGCUGAGGCCCAGAUUUCCAUGCUAAGCACUCCAAGGCUCAUCAUGCUCGGAGAGUCCAAUCUGAGGGCAAAAAAUGGAUGCUUUCCAUCGAGUGCUGAGUUCUCCUCCAAUUGAGUGACGGUUGUGAUUUCACUUCUGCUCUAGCCUUUUUGCGUCAUACUAUGUAUGAGGCAGCCACUACAUUGGGAUUUAUCCAGAGGGUAGAGUCCAGCCCAGGAAGUCAACUAGUUCAUGUCCAGAUUUAAAAGAAUAAUAUUUCUGAAAAAAAGGUCUUGGAGAAAAACAAUGGCUGUUUCUCAAUUCCAAGAACGCAAAGAACGGACUUGCGUCCUCGUGGAGAUCGGUCUUGCCAGGCGACCUUGGAAGAACGAACUCGGAAGUUUUGCCGCAAUGACUUCUGGGGCGUAAAGCGAUUUCAGAUUUCUUGAGAAUUGGAAUUGAACUUCGACCGUUAAUGAUGACGUAGAGCGAGGACACGAGGACGCAAGAUCGCUGAAGAACGCAUAUUGAGAAACAGCCCCUAUUCAGGUUUGAAAUCCUGCUGUAAAUGUAAAUCAUUUAACUUUUAUGCAUUUGUAAUUUACCAGAAACUUUUUAAUAAAUAUUGAUUGUUUUGUGUGUUCAGAAAAAGUGUUUUUGUAUGUUCAGAAAAGUGUUGAAAUUAAAUGAAACAUUCACAGAAAAAUGUUAACAUAUUUAAAAAAAUGUAUAUGUUCAGAAAAGUUUUGAGAUGUUCACAGAAAAAAUGUAACACAAAAAAUGUAUGCUAUGCUAUUUUUAAUUUAUGAAUUUUUGUAAUUUAAAGUGAUAAAAUAAAUGGCAUUUUUGUGACAAA